RNAcentral lists this ribosomal RNA (422 nucleotides) under uncultured bacterium. RNAcentral describes it as "bacterial SSU rRNA". It matches the Rfam family "Bacterial small subunit ribosomal RNA", at positions 355 to 774 of the family's 1533-position model. The record is from RNAcentral.
UGAUGAAUAUUGGACAAUGGGCGCAAGCCUGAUCCAGCCAUGCCGCGUGCAGGAUGAAGCAUCUAUGGUGUGUAAACUGCUUUUGUACGGGAAGAAACCACCCCUCGUGAGGGGUAUUGACGGUACCGUAAGAAUAAGGACCGGCUAACUCCGUGCCAGCAGCCGCGGUAAUACGGAGGGUGCAAGCGUUAUCCGGAAUCAUUGGGUUUAAAGGGUCCGCAGGCGGUCUUAUAAGUCAGUGGUGAAAGCCUACAGCUCAACUGUAGAACUGCCAUUGAUACUGUAAGACUUGAAUUCGAUCGAAGUGGGCGGAAUAUGACAUGUAGCGGUGAAAUGCUUAGAUAUGACAUAGAACACCGAUUGCGAAGGCAGCUUGCUACAGGAUUAUUGACACUGAGGCUCGAAAGCGGGGGGAUCAAACA